Molecule: ribosomal RNA, 484 nt
Filed under: uncultured bacterium
Lineage: Bacteria
Description: partial 16S ribosomal RNA
Rfam family: Bacterial small subunit ribosomal RNA
Source: RNAcentral
AUUGAACGCUGGCGGCAUGCUUUACACAUGCAAGUCGAACGGCAGCGCGGGCUUCGGCCUGGCGGCGAGUGGCGAACGGGUGAGUAAUGCAUCGGAACGUGCCCAGUAGUGGGGGAUAGCCCGGCGAAAGCCGGAUUAAUACCGCAUACGACCUGAGGGUGAAAGCGGGGGACCGAAAGGCCUCGCGCUAUUGGAGCGGCCGAUGUCGGAUUAGCUAGUUGGUGGGGUAAAGGCUUACCAAGGCGACGAUCCGUAGCUGGCCUGAGAGGACGACCAGCCACACUGGAACUGAGACACGGCCCAGACUCCUACGGGAGGCAGCAGUAGGGAAUUUUGGACAAUGGGGGCAACCCUGAUCCAGCCAUGCCGCGUGCGGGAAGAAGGCCUUCGGGUUGUAAACCGCUUUUGUUCGGGAAGAAAACCUCUGGGCUAAUACCCCGGGGGGAUGACGGUACCGGAAGAAUAAGCACCGGCUAACUACGUG